CCCAUUUCUUCUUCUUUCUCUUCUCCCUCCCUCCCGAUUUUUCUUCUCUUCUCACCCGGUUUUCCCCUCUCUACACCCAGAAGAAUUUCCGGCCGUCCUCCCGCCGCCGUCCGGCCACCAACCGCCGCCGCACCAGCCCAGAUCGGACCCCCGUCACCUCCUCUCCCUCCCGGCCUAGUGUCCGAGCCGGUGGUGCCGCCGAAGAGGAGAAAAAAGCCGCCGGAACCGCCGACUGUCCAAGGCUUCCCUUCGCCGGAACUUCCUCCUCCGGCCACCAAUCCGGGCAAGCUUGGUACGGUUUUGUAGCCCUCCUCCCGUGCAACAACCCCUCCAAGCAGCUCCCUCCCUCUUGAGCUAGGUAAGGAGAAAUUUGAGGUGGAAGUUUUAUGGUGUUUAAGUUGUUUUCGUUCGAUUAGCCUAGUUAGGCUUGGAAUUGGGUGAUGUGUUAGUCAUGAAAGUUGUAGAGGAGAUUGAGAGGAAGAUUCUGUUAAAAUUUGGUAGCAUUUGCAGGUCGCUGGAAAACGGCUGCCGGCCGCCGCUGCCGGAGGAGCCGCCGGCGGCGCCGCCGCCGGUUAGGAGAUUUUUAUGGUUUUUGAUGUAGAAUAUUAAGGGGAUAUUAUUGAAGUGAAUUAUGGAAUUUUUGGAUGAGAUUUGGAUAGGUUUGUGAAUUUCCGAAGUUUGGUAUUUUUGACGGUUAAUUAAUGUAGAAUCCGGCCGUAGGAUUUAAGUCGUAUUUUGGGGAGGUUGUAUUUACGACUAUUGAGUAUGAUAUUUAAGUUCGGAUUGUUCCGAUGUUAGAAUAUCGAAGUUAGGCAAUGAUGAGCGUAAUAAUGGCUCUCGGGUAAUUUUGCCUAUUUUGAUUAAAUAUUGGAUAUUGGUUGGGAAAUUAAUAUUAUAUUUGGAACAGGACGUGAAGAGGCUCGAGCAGACGAGACCCCAGAUUGACAUCAGGCUUAGGCCUAAUUCGUGAGUGGACGUUUAUUUUAAAUAAAUGCAUGCUAUAGUUCAUGGUUGAACAAUUAAUAUUGCGGAAUAUUUUAACGUCAUUUUAAUUUGACGAUUUUUAUUUUCUCUUGGAGAGCUACCGAAAAUGGGAUUUUCGGU
RNAcentral lists this long non-coding RNA (1104 nucleotides) under Fragaria vesca (wild strawberry). RNAcentral describes it as "long non-coding RNA (FVES_LNC004340)". The record is from RNAcentral. Lineage: Eukaryota; Viridiplantae; Streptophyta; Magnoliopsida; Rosales; Rosaceae.